This 253-nucleotide ribosomal RNA is filed under the name uncultured bacterium. RNAcentral's name for it is "partial 16S ribosomal RNA". It matches the Rfam family "Bacterial small subunit ribosomal RNA", at positions 524 to 776 of the family's 1533-position model. The record is from RNAcentral.
UACGUAGGGUGCGAGCGUUGUCCGGAAUUAUUGGGCGUAAAGAGCUUGUAGGCGGUUUGUCGCGUCUGCUGUGAAAAUCCGGGGCUCAACCCCGGACUUGCAGUGAGUACGGGCAGACUAGAGUGUGGUAGGGGAGACUGGAAUUCCUGGUGUAGCGGUGGAAUGCGCAGAUAUCAGGAGGAACACCGAUGGCGAAGGCAGGUCUCUGGGCCACUACUGACGCUGAGAAGCGAAAGCAUGGGGAGCGAACAGG